GAGGAAAGCUGGCGGCAUGCUUAACACAUGCAAGUCGAACGGGAAGUGGUGUUUCCAGUGGCGAACGGGUGAGUAACGCGUAAGAACCUGCCCUUGGGAGGGGAACAACAACUGGAAACGGUUGCUAAUACCCCGUAGGCUGAGGAGCAAAAGGAGAAAUCCGCCCAAGGAGGGGCUCGCGUCUGAUUAGCUAGUUGGUGAGGUAAUAGCUUACCAAGGCGAUGAUCAGUAGCUGGUCCGAGAGGAUGAUCAGCCACACUGGGACUGAGACACGGCCCAGACUCCUACGGGAGGCAGCAGUGGGGAAUUUUCCGCAAUGGGCGAAAGCCUGACGGAGCAAUGCCGCGUGGAGGUGGAAGGCCUACGGGUCGUCAACUUCUUUUCUCGGAGAAGAAACAAUGACGGUAUCUGAGGAAUAAGCAGCGGCUAACUCUGUG
RNAcentral lists this ribosomal RNA (437 nucleotides) under uncultured bacterium. RNAcentral describes it as "partial 16S ribosomal RNA". It matches the Rfam family "Bacterial small subunit ribosomal RNA", at positions 28 to 507 of the family's 1533-position model. The record is from RNAcentral.